AUACUCCGAGAACUGAAAGGCUUUUUGAAGUCUUCGGAUGGAUAGAAGAACCCCUGAUGCCGUCGAGCCAAGAAAAGUUUCUAAGUUUAGCUAAUGUUGCCCGUACCGUAAACCGACACAGGUGGGUGGGAUGAGUAUUCUAAGGCGCGUGGAAGAACUCUCUUUAAGGAACUCUGCAAAAUAGCACCGUAUCUUCGGUAUAAGGUGUGGUUCGCUUCGUACUAGGAUUUACUCCGAAAGCGAAGAAACUUACAACAAAGAGUCCCUCCCGACUGUUUACCAAAAACACAGCACUCUGCUAACUCGUAAGAGGAUGUAUAGGGUGUGACGCCUGCCCGGUGCUCGAAGGUUAAUUGAUGGGGUUAGCAUUAGCGAAGCUCUUGAUCGAAGCCCGAGUAAACGGCGGCCGUAACUAUAACGGUCCUAAGGUAGCGAAAUUCCUUGUCGGUUAAAUACCGACCUGCAUGAAUGGCGUAACGAGAUGGGAGCUGUCUCAAAGAGGGAUCCAGUGAAAUUGUAGUGGAGGUGAAAAUUCCUCCUACCCGCGGCAAGACGGAAAGACCCCGUGGACCUUUACUACAGCUUGACACUGCUACUUGGAUAAGAAUGUGCAGGAUAGGUGGGAGGCUUUGAGUAUAUGACGCCAGUUGUAUAUGAGCCAUUGUUGAGAUACCACUCUUUCUUAUUUGGGUAGCUAACCAGCUUGAGUUAUCCUCAAGUGGGACAAUGUCUGGUGGGUAGUUUGACUGGGGCGGUCGCCUCCCAAAUAAUAACGGAGGCUUACAAAGGUUGGCUCAGAACGGUUGGAAAUCGUUCGUAGAGUAUAAAGGUAUAAGCCAGCUUAACUGCAAGACAUACAAGUCAAGCAGAGACGAAAGUCGGUCUUAGUGAUCCGGUGGUUCUGUGUGGAAGGGCCAUCGCUCAAAGGAUAAAAGGUACCCCGGGGAUAACAGGCUGAUCUCCCCCAAGAGCUCACAUCGACGGGGAGGUUUGGCACCUCGAUGUCGGCUCAUCGCAUCCUGGGGCUGGAGCAGGUCCCAAGGGUAUGGCUGUUCGCCAUUUAAAGCGGUACGCGAGCUGGGUUCAGAACGUCGUGAGACAGUUCGGUCCCUAUCUGCCGUGGGCGUAAGAAGAUUGAAGAGAUUUGACCCUAGUACGAGAGGACCGGGUUGAACAAACCACUGGUGUAGCUGUUGUUCUGCCAAGAGCAUCGCAGCGUAGCUAAGUUUGGAAAGGAUAAACGCUGAAAGCAUCUAAGCGUGAAGCCAACUCUAAGAUGAAUCUUCUCUAAGCUCUCUAGAAGACUACUAGUUUGAUAGGCUGGGUGUGUAAUGGAUGAAAGUCCUUUAGCUGACCAGUACUAAUAGAGCGUUUGGCUUAUCUUUAAUAAAGCAU
RNAcentral lists this ribosomal RNA (1395 nucleotides) under Campylobacter jejuni. RNAcentral's name for it is "partial 23S ribosomal RNA". It matches the Rfam family "Bacterial large subunit ribosomal RNA", at positions 1540 to 2925 of the family's 2925-position model. Lineage: Bacteria; Pseudomonadati; Campylobacterota; Epsilonproteobacteria; Campylobacterales; Campylobacteraceae. The record is from RNAcentral.